This 453-nucleotide ribosomal RNA is filed under the name uncultured bacterium. RNAcentral describes it as "bacterial SSU rRNA". It matches the Rfam family "Bacterial small subunit ribosomal RNA", at positions 28 to 362 of the family's 1533-position model. The record is from RNAcentral.
GAUGAACGCUGGCGGCGUGCUUAACACAUGCAAGUCGAGCGGGCAAUUUAUCUAGCACUGAUUACUUCAAAUGGCUAUCGCCAGUGUAAUCAUGAAUUUCUACCUUUUAAUAAAGAAAAAAGAAAUUCAUGUACGCAAAUAGUGAUAACACAUUUUAGUGGAGUGAUGAGUGCUGGAUAAAUUGCUAGCGGCGGACGGGUGCGUAACACGUGGGUAACCUGCCCCUAUCACUGGGAUAACACACUGAAAAGUGUGCUAAUACCAGAUAACAUAAGCUUUUGGCAUCAUUAGCUUAUCAAAGAAUUUCGGAUAGGGAUGGGCCCGCGUCUGAUUAGCUAGUUGGUGAGGUAACGGCUCACCAAGGCAACGAUCAGUAGCCGACCUGAGAGGGUGAUCGGCCACACUGGAACUGAGACACGGUCCAGACUCCUACGGGAGGCAGCAGUGGGGAAU